Non-coding RNA from Misgurnus anguillicaudatus (oriental weatherfish), 1643 nucleotides. The record is from RefSeq and is a predicted model, not a curated record. Lineage: Eukaryota; Metazoa; Chordata; Actinopteri; Cypriniformes; Cobitidae.
GAUUUGUCAGAAUUUCCAUAUAAAUGUUAUACUACUGUGACUCUUCUCUUAUUUAAAGGUCUUUAAGCAAGCUGUUGGGAAAGCAGCCACACAAUUGGGCUGAUUAUUUGGAGGCCACAAUGUUUGGUCUCCGCACCAAAAAACAAGUCACCACCAAGUAUUCUCCAUAUUACUUGAUGUUUGGCCGGGAGGCAAGGUAUCCAUCAGAGGUACCUGACAAAUACGAGAUCAACAAAUCUGUGGAGGACAUUCUGGCUGAGGAGUGCAUCUCUGAAUCCAUAAAAAGGCAAGACCGGAUCUUCCAAACAGUCUGGGACAAUAUUAGUUGAGCCCAACAGAAGGCCAAAAAAAGGAAGCUGGAACAGGGAUUGUCUUUAGACAUUAAGGUUGGUGACAGGGUUUUGCGGAAAAAUAUACGGAGCAGGCAGAGGAAGGGAGCCAAACUGGACCCAGACUUCAUUGGUCCAUACACUGUGACGAGUGAAGACGGUAAGUCUAUAGAUUUAAGGGAUGACAAAGGACAACCAUUUCCCAAAAUUAACAAGGACCAUUUAGUUCACUUUUUGGAGGAACAUGCUUGUCCUGCCACCCAGCCACCUGUCUGUGCCUCAGCCUCCCAGCCAAACAGUGCAAUCUGUAUGUAUUGUUUUGCUGACAUGCAUGUACAUCUUUAUAUGAAUUACAGAAAUGUUACUUUCAAUGUAGACAAAUGGAUUGGAAAUUAAUGUUUCAUUUGCACACAGUAUUGCAAGACUAUGGGCCAAAAGAAAAGGUGGUGUAUUGUGUAGUAAAAUUGGUCCAUACAAAAUGUUCACGUGGGAUGUAGAUCGCCUCAGACCUGGAGAAAGGCUUGAAAGUGAAGUAAUCAAUGCAUAUCUGACUUUGCUGACAAAAAACUAUGUAGGCAAGGCAUAUGUCAUUGAUUCCUUUCAGGCCACAAACAUCUGGAAGAGCAAUGGCAGUUCUAUGAAGAGGCUGAAUCCAGAUGAAUACGAUGUACUGAUUGGGUCCAGUAAUGAGAACCACCACUGGACACUUCUGGUGAUAUAUCCUAACGAAUGACGUAUUUUAUACAUUAACUCAUUGGGGGAAAACCGGACUAAAUUGCUUCAGUGCGAAAAGGCUGUAAGCAAAUUUAUGGACACAAGGGGAAAGGUUGGAAAGUGGAAAUGUUCCACUGUACCGCACUGCUUCCAACAGGACGGCAAUUCAUGUGGUGUAUUUGUCUGUAAAUUUGCAGAAACUAUUCUCACAGGAGGCAGUUUCCAGUUUGCAAGCACAGCAGACAACAUUUCUUUGCUACGCCAACAGAUAGGCCUCUGUCUGCUACAAGAAAGUGAUUCAGUGUGACUGUUGCAGUAGUUGGAUCCACUGGGAAUGUGUAAACCAACCCAGUCUGUCUAAAGUAUUUGUUUGUCACGGAUGCCGAUUUUGAAUUUGGUUUAAUUGUAUUUUUGUUAGUCAUUUUGGUUUGUAAUGGAUGGCAACUUUUGAAAUUACGUUAAGCUUAAUGUAUAUAUGUUAUGUAUUUAAGCAAUAAAUACAAUACUAAAGUUCAUUUGUGUGUGUUUGUUUUAAGGACUGACAAGCUAUUUUGUUUGGCCUACGAAUUGUAAACGUCCUUAUAUAACUGGUAUACCUUU